GUGAGUACCAUGCAUUCAAUCC
RNAcentral lists this microRNA (22 nucleotides) under Pristionchus pacificus. RNAcentral's name for it is "ppc-miR-8337-5p". The record is from miRBase by way of RNAcentral. Lineage: Eukaryota; Metazoa; Nematoda; Chromadorea; Rhabditida; Neodiplogasteridae.